Molecule: ribosomal RNA, 2902 nt
Filed under: Escherichia coli
Lineage: Bacteria; Pseudomonadati; Pseudomonadota; Gammaproteobacteria; Enterobacterales; Enterobacteriaceae
Description: bacterial LSU rRNA
Rfam family: Bacterial large subunit ribosomal RNA
Source: RNAcentral
UUAAGCGACUAAGCGUACACGGUGGAUGCCCUGGCAGUCAGAGGCGAUGAAGGACGUGCUAAUCUGCGAUAAGCGUCGGUAAGGUGAUAUGAACCGUUAUAACCGGCGAUUUCCGAAUGGGGAAACCCAGUGUGUUUCGACACACUAUCAUUAACUGAAUCCAUAGGUUAAUGAGGCGAACCGGGGGAACUGAAACAUCUAAGUACCCCGAGGAAAAGAAAUCAACCGAGAUUCCCCCAGUAGCGGCGAGCGAACGGGGAGCAGCCCAGAGCCUGAAUCAGUAUGUGUGUUAGUGGAAGCGUCUGGAAAGGCGCGCGAUACAGGGUGACAGCCCCGUACACAAAAAUGCACAUAUUGUGAGCUCGAUGAGUAGGGCGGGACACGUGGUAUCCUGUCUGAAUAUGGGGGGACCAUCCUCCAAGGCUAAAUACUCCUGACUGACCGAUAGUGAACCAGUACCGUGAGGGAAAGGCGAAAAGAACCCCGGCGAGGGGAGUGAAAAAGAACCUGAAACCGUGUACGUACAAGCAGUGGGAGCACGCUUAGGCGUGUGACUGCGUACCUUUUGUAUAAUGGGUCAGCGACUUAUAUUCUGUAGCAAGGUUAACCGAAUAGGGGAGCCGAAGGGAAACCGAGUCUUAACUGGGCGUUAAGUUGCAGGGUAUAGACCCGAAACCCGGUGAUCUAGCCAUGGGCAGGUUGAAGGUUGGGUAACACUAACUGGAGGACCGAACCGACUAAUGUUGAAAAAUUAGCGGAUGACUUGUGGCUGGGGGUGAAAGGCCAAUCAAACCGGGAGAUAGCUGGUUCUCCCCGAAAGCUAUUUAGGUAGCGCCUCGUGAAUUCAUCUCCGGGGGUAGAGCACUGUUUCGGCAAGGGGGUCAUCCCGACUUACCAACCCGAUGCAAACUGCGAAUACCGGAGAAUGUUAUCACGGGAGACACACGGCGGGUGCUAACGUCCGUCGUGAAGAGGGAAACAACCCAGACCGCCAGCUAAGGUCCCAAAGUCAUGGUUAAGUGGGAAACGAUGUGGGAAGGCCCAGACAGCCAGGAUGUUGGCUUAGAAGCAGCCAUCAUUUAAAGAAAGCGUAAUAGCUCACUGGUCGAGUCGGCCUGCGCGGAAGAUGUAACGGGGCUAAACCAUGCACCGAAGCUGCGGCAGCGACGCUUAUGCGUUGUUGGGUAGGGGAGCGUUCUGUAAGCCUGUGAAGGUGUGCUGUGAGGCAUGCUGGAGGUAUCAGAAGUGCGAAUGCUGACAUAAGUAACGAUAAAGCGGGUGAAAAGCCCGCUCGCCGGAAGACCAAGGGUUCCUGUCCAACGUUAAUCGGGGCAGGGUGAGUCGACCCCUAAGGCGAGGCCGAAAGGCGUAGUCGAUGGGAAACAGGUUAAUAUUCCUGUACUUGGUGUUACUGCGAAGGGGGGACGGAGAAGGCUAUGUUGGCCGGGCGACGGUUGUCCCGGUUUAAGCGUGUAGGCUGGUUUUCCAGGCAAAUCCGGAAAAUCAAGGCUGAGGCGUGAUGACGAGGCACUACGGUGCUGAAGCAACAAAUGCCCUGCUUCCAGGAAAAGCCUCUAAGCAUCAGGUAACAUCAAAUCGUACCCCAAACCGACACAGGUGGUCAGGUAGAGAAUACCAAGGCGCUUGAGAGAACUCGGGUGAAGGAACUAGGCAAAAUGGUGCCGUAACUUCGGGAGAAGGCACGCUGAUAUGUAGGUGAAGUCCCUCGCGGAUGGAGCUGAAAUCAGUCGAAGAUACCAGCUGGCUGCAACUGUUUAUUAAAAACACAGCACUGUGCAAACACGAAAGUGGACGUAUACGGUGUGACGCCUGCCCGGUGCCGGAAGGUUAAUUGAUGGGGUUAGCGCAAGCGAAGCUCUUGAUCGAAGCCCCGGUAAACGGCGGCCGUAACUAUAACGGUCCUAAGGUAGCGAAAUUCCUUGUCGGGUAAGUUCCGACCUGCACGAAUGGCGUAAUGAUGGCCAGGCUGUCUCCACCCGAGACUCAGUGAAAUUGAACUCGCUGUGAAGAUGCAGUGUACCCGCGGCAAGACGGAAAGACCCCGUGAACCUUUACUAUAGCUUGACACUGAACAUUGAGCCUUGAUGUGUAGGAUAGGUGGGAGGCUUAGAAGUGUGGACGCCAGUCUGCAUGGAGCCGACCUUGAAAUACCACCCUUUAAUGUUUGAUGUUCUAACGUUGACCCGUAAUCCGGGUUGCGGACAGUGUCUGGUGGGUAGUUUGACUGGGGCGGUCUCCUCCUAAAGAGUAACGGAGGAGCACGAAGGUUGGCUAAUCCUGGUCGGACAUCAGGAGGUUAGUGCAAUGGCAUAAGCCAGCUUGACUGCGAGCGUGACGGCGCGAGCAGGUGCGAAAGCAGGUCAUAGUGAUCCGGUGGUUCUGAAUGGAAGGGCCAUCGCUCAACGGAUAAAAGGUACUCCGGGGAUAACAGGCUGAUACCGCCCAAGAGUUCAUAUCGACGGCGGUGUUUGGCACCUCGAUGUCGGCUCAUCACAUCCUGGGGCUGAAGUAGGUCCCAAGGGUAUGGCUGUUCGCCAUUUAAAGUGGUACGCGAGCUGGGUUUAGAACGUCGUGAGACAGUUCGGUCCCUAUCUGCCGUGGGCGCUGGAGAACUGAGGGGGGCUGCUCCUAGUACGAGAGGACCGGAGUGGACGCAUCACUGGUGUUCGGGUUGUCAUGCCAAUGGCACUGCCCGGUAGCUAAAUGCGGAAGAGAUAAGUGCUGAAAGCAUCUAAGCACGAAACUUGCCCCGAGAUGAGUUCUCCCUGACUCCUUGAGAGUCCUGAAGGAACGUUGAAGACGACGACGUUGAUAGGCCGGGUGUGUAAGCGCAGCGAUGCGUUGAGCUAACCGGUACUAAUGAACCGUGAGGCUUAACCUU